UGGUCGAGUCGGCCUGCGCGGAAGAUGUAACGGGGGCUAAACCAUGCACCGAAGCUGCGGCAGCGACACUAUGUGUUGUUGGGUAGGGGAGCGUUCUGUAAGCCGUUGAAGGUGUCCUGUGAGGGGUGCUGGAGGUAUCAGAAGUGCGAAUGCUGACAUAAGUAACGAUAAAGCGGGUGAAAAGCCCGCUCGCCGGAAGACCAAGGGUUCCUGUCCAACGUUAAUCGGGGCAGGGUGAGUCGACUCCUAAGGCGAGGCCGAAAGGCGUAGUCGAUGGGAAACAGGUUAAUAUUCCUGUACUUGGUGUUACUGCGAAGGGGGGACGGAGAAGGCUAUGUCAGCCGGGCGACGGUUGUCCCGGUUUAAGCAUGUAGGCGGAGGUUCCAGGUAAAUCCGGUACCUUGUUAACGCUGAGGUGUGAUGACGAGGCACUACGGUGCUGAAGUGAUAAAUGCCCUGCUUCCAGGAAAAGCCUCUAAGCAUCAGGUAACACGAAAUCGUACCCCAAACCGACACAGGUGGUCAGGUAGAGAAUACCAAGGCGCUUGAGAGAACUCGGGUGAAGGAACUAGGCAAAAUGGUGCCGUAACUUCGGGAGAAGGCACGCUGAUAUGUAGGUGAAGCCCCUGCGGGCGGAGCUGAAAUCAGUCGAAGAUACCAGCUGGCUGCAACUGUUUAUUAAAAACACAGCACUGUGCAAACACGAAAGUGGACGUAUACGGUGUGACGCCUGCCCGGUGCCGGAAGGUUAAUUGAUGGGGUUAGCGGCAACGCGAAGCUCUUGAUCGAAGCCCCGGUAAACGGCGGCCGUAACUAUAACGGUCCUAAGGUAGCGAAAUUCCUUGUCGGGUAAGUUCCGACCUGCACGAAUGGCGUAAUGAUGGCCAGGCUGUCUCCACCCGAGACUCAGUGAAAUUGAACUCGCUGUGAAGAUGCAGUGUACCCGCGGCAAGACGGAAAGACCCCGUGAACCUUUACUAUAGCUUGACACUGAACACUGGUCCUUGAUGUGUAGGAUAGGUGGGAGGCUUUGAAGCGUGGACGCCAGUCUGCGUGGAGCCAACCUUGAAAUACCACCCUUUAAUGGCUGGUGUUCUAACGUAGACCCGUAAUCCGGGUUGCGGACAGUGUCUGGUGGGUAGUUUGACUGGGGCGGUCUCCUCCCAAAGAGUAACGGAGGAGCACGAAGGUUGG
Molecule: ribosomal RNA, 1194 nt
Filed under: hot springs metagenome
Description: bacterial LSU rRNA
Rfam family: Bacterial large subunit ribosomal RNA
Source: RNAcentral